RNAcentral lists this ribosomal RNA (546 nucleotides) under uncultured bacterium. RNAcentral's name for it is "bacterial SSU rRNA". It matches the Rfam family "Bacterial small subunit ribosomal RNA", at positions 355 to 895 of the family's 1533-position model. The record is from RNAcentral.
UAGGGAAUUUUUCACAAUGAGCGAAAGCUUGAUGGAGCAAUGCCGCGUGAACGAUGAAGGUCUUUAAGAUUGUAAAGUUCUUUUAUUUGGGAAGAAUGACUUUAGCAGGUAAUGGCUAGAGUUUGACUGUACCAUUUUGAAUAAGUGACGACUAACUAUGUGCCAGCAGUCGCGGUAAUACAUAGGUCGCAAGCGUUAUCCGGAUUUAUUGGGCGUAAAGCAAGCGCAGGCGGAUUGAAAAGUCUGGUGUUAAAGGCAGCUGCUUAACAGUUGUAUGCAUUGGAAACUAUUAAUCUAGAGUGUGGUAGGGAGUUUUGGAAUUUCAUGUGGAGCGGUGAAAUGCGUAGAUAUAUGAAGGAACACCAGUGGCGAAGGCGAAAACUUAGGCCAUUACUGACGCUUAGGCUCGAAAGUGUGGGGAGCAAAUAGGAUUAGAUACCCUAGUAGUCCACACCGUAAACGAUAGAUACUAGCUGUCGGGGCGAUCCCCUCGGUAGUGAAGUUAACACAUUAAGUAUCUCGCCUGGGUAGUACAUUCGCAAGAAU